RNAcentral lists this ribosomal RNA (499 nucleotides) under uncultured bacterium. RNAcentral's name for it is "partial 16S ribosomal RNA". It matches the Rfam family "Bacterial small subunit ribosomal RNA", at positions 28 to 507 of the family's 1533-position model. The record is from RNAcentral.
GACGAACGCUGGCGGCGUGCCUAAUACAUGCAAGUCGAGCGAAGUUUUUCUGGUGCUUGCACUAGAAAAACUUAGCGGCGAACGGGUGAGUAACACGUAAAGAACCUGCCUCAUAGACUGGGACAACCAUUGGAAACGAUAGCUAAUACCGGAUAACAGUAUUUCUCGCAUGAGAGAUAUUUAAAAGUUGGUUAUGCUAACACUAUGAGAUGGCCUUGCGGUGCAUUUGCUAGUUGGUGGGGUAAAGGCCCACCAAGGCGACGAUGCAUAGCCGACCUGAGAGGGUGAUCGGCCACACUGGGACUGAGACACGGCCCAGACUCCUACGGGAGGCAGCAGUAGGGAAUCUUCCGCAAUGGGCGAAAGCCUGACGGAGCAACGCCGCGUGAGUGAAGAAGGAUUUCGGUUCGUAAAGCUCUGUUGUUAGGGAAGAAUGGAUAUGUAGUAACUAUACAUGUAAGAGACGGUACCUAACCAGAAAGCCACGGCUAACUACGUG